RNAcentral lists this transfer RNA (72 nucleotides) under Candidatus Woesearchaeota archaeon. RNAcentral describes it as "tRNA-Val". It matches the Rfam family "tRNA". Rfam says of the family: Transfer RNA (tRNA) molecules are approximately 80 nucleotides in length. Lineage: Archaea; Nanobdellati; Candidatus Woesearchaeota. The record is from RNAcentral.
GGACCCGUAGCUUAGCGGUAUAGCGUCGCCUUUACACGGCGAAGGUCGUCGGUUCAAAUCCGGCCGGGUCCA